RNAcentral lists this ribosomal RNA (202 nucleotides) under uncultured bacterium. RNAcentral describes it as "partial 16S ribosomal RNA". It matches the Rfam family "Bacterial small subunit ribosomal RNA", at positions 524 to 726 of the family's 1533-position model. The record is from RNAcentral.
UACGGGGGGGGCAAGCGUUGUUCGGAAUUACUGGGCGUAAAGGCUCGUAGGCGGCCAACUAAGUCAUACGUGAAAUCCCUCGGCUUAACCGGGGAACUGCGUCUGAUACUGGAUGGCUUGAGUUCGGGAGAGGGAUGCGGAAUUCCAGGUGUAGCGGUGAAAUGCGUAGAUAUCAGGAGGAACACCGGUGGCGAAGGCGGGU